GACGAACGCUGGCGGCGUGCCUAAUACAUGCAAGUUGAGCGAUGAAGAUUGGUGCUUGCACCAAUUUGAAGAGCAGCGAACGGGUGAGUAACGCGUGGGGAAUCUGCCUUUGAGCGGGGGACAACAUUUGGAAACGAAUGCUAAUACCGCAUAACAACUUUAAACAUAAGUUUUAAGUUUGAAAGAUGCAAUUGCAUCACUCAAAGAUGAUCCCGCGUUGUAUUAGCUAGUUGGUGAGGUAAAGGCUCACCAAGGCGAUGCUACAUAGCCGACCUGAGAGGGUGGGCGGCCGGCAUGGGACGGUGACAGGACACAAACGGAUUCGGGAGGGGGCAGGAGGGAAUCGUGAGGCAGGGGCGAAGGACAGACCGAGAUAGGCCGAGGGAGGAAAGAAGGUUGUCGGGUCGUAGAACUCGGUUGGUAGGGAAGAACGCGGGUGGGAGUGGAAAGCUCAGCGAGUGACGGUAACUAGCAAGAAAGGGACGGCUAACUACGUG
This 497-nucleotide ribosomal RNA is filed under the name uncultured bacterium. RNAcentral's name for it is "partial 16S ribosomal RNA". It matches the Rfam family "Bacterial small subunit ribosomal RNA", at positions 28 to 507 of the family's 1533-position model. The record is from RNAcentral.